Pongo abelii (Sumatran orangutan) is the source of this 71-nucleotide non-coding RNA. NCBI's taxonomy places the organism in Eukaryota, Metazoa, Chordata, Mammalia, Primates, Hominidae. The record is from Rfam.
CAGGACAAUGGUGAGUGCCGGUGUUGCCCUGGGGCCGUCCCUGCGUGGGGGCCGGGUGCUCACCGCAUCUG